GUGUUUGCUGACUCUCUUGACGGUGUUGACUAACUUCCGUCAAUUUGAAAAUUAUAUAUAUGAAAGUUGAUCAACUCUCUCCAUAUAAUUGUCACAUCAUCACUUUAGCAUUUGCCAUGUGUCUAUUAAAUAAUUAAUGUAAUGUACUAUUAAUUA
RNAcentral lists this small RNA (156 nucleotides) under Arabidopsis thaliana (thale cress). RNAcentral describes it as "ATSL282000". The record is from RNAcentral. Lineage: Eukaryota; Viridiplantae; Streptophyta; Magnoliopsida; Brassicales; Brassicaceae.